AACGAACGCUGGCGGCAUGCCUAACACAUGCAAGUCGAACGAGACCUUCGGGUCUAUUGGCGCACGGGUGCGUAACGCGUGGGAACCUGCCCUUAGGUUCGGAAUAACUCCCCGAAAGGGAUGCUAAUACCGGAUAAUGUCUUCGGACCAAAGAUUUAUCGCCUUUGGAUGGGCCCGCGUUAGAUUAGCUGGUUGGUAGGGUAAAAGCCUACCAAGGCGACGAUCCAUAGCUGGUCUGAGAGGAUGAUCAGCCACGAUGGGGCUGAGACACGGCCCAGAAUCCUACGCGAGGGAGGAGUGGGGAAUACUGGACAAUGGGGCAAAGCCUGAUCCAGCAACGUCGGGUAAGUGAUGAAGGCCUUAGGGUUGUAAAGCCCCUUUAGCCGGGAUGAUAAUGACAGUACCGGGAGAAUAAGCUCCGGCUAACUCCGUG
This 433-nucleotide ribosomal RNA is filed under the name uncultured bacterium. RNAcentral describes it as "partial 16S ribosomal RNA". It matches the Rfam family "Bacterial small subunit ribosomal RNA", at positions 29 to 507 of the family's 1533-position model. The record is from RNAcentral.